GCCGCCGUAGCUCAGUUGGCAGAGCGAUCGCCUUGUAAGCGAUAGGUCGUGGGUUCAAUCCCCACCGGCGGCUCCA
RNAcentral lists this transfer RNA (76 nucleotides) under Hadesarchaea archaeon. RNAcentral describes it as "tRNA-Thr". It matches the Rfam family "tRNA". Rfam says of the family: Transfer RNA (tRNA) molecules are approximately 80 nucleotides in length. Their secondary structure includes four short double-helical elements and three loops (D, anti-codon, and T loops). The record is from RNAcentral. Lineage: Archaea; Methanobacteriati; Hadarchaeota (SeqCode); Hadarchaeia (SeqCode).